Small nuclear RNA from Manihot esculenta (cassava), 162 nucleotides. RefSeq annotates it as U1 spliceosomal RNA. The transcript has a single exon. The record is from RefSeq and is a predicted model, not a curated record. NCBI's taxonomy places the organism in Eukaryota, Viridiplantae, Streptophyta, Magnoliopsida, Malpighiales, Euphorbiaceae.
AUACUUACCUGGACGGGGUCAAUGGGCGAUCAAGAAGGCUCAUGGCCUAGGUCUGUGACCUCCAUUGCACUUUGGAGGGGUGCAGGCCUAAGGUCUCCUCAAAGUAGGAGAGCCUACGUCAUAAUUUGUGGCAGUGGGGGCCUGCGUUCGCGCGGCCCCUAU